AGUGAACGCUGGCGGUAGGCCUAACACAUGCCAGUCGAACGGCAGCACAGUAAGAGCUUGCUCUUACGGGUGGCGAGUGGCGGACGGGUGAGGAAUACAUCGGAAUCUACUUUUUCGUGGGGGAUAACGUAGGGAAACUUACGCUAAUACCGCAUACGACCUACGGGUGAAAGCAGGGGAUCUUCGGACCUUGCGCGAUUGAAUGAGCCGAUGUCGGAUUAGCUAGUAGGCGGGGUAAAGGCCCACCAAGGCGACGAUCCGUAGCUGGUCUGAGAGGAUGAUCAGCCACACUGGAACUGAGACACGGUCCAGACUCCUACGGGAGGCAGCAGUGGGGAAUAUUGGACAAUGGGCGCAAGCCUGAUCCAGCCAUACCGCGUGGGUGAAGAAGGCCUUCGGGUUGUAAAGCCCUUUUGUUGGGAAAGAAAAGCAGCAGGUUAAUACCCCGCUGUUCUGACGGUACCCAAAGAAUAAGCACCGGCUAACUUCGUG
This 492-nucleotide ribosomal RNA is filed under the name uncultured bacterium. Its description in RNAcentral is "partial 16S ribosomal RNA". It matches the Rfam family "Bacterial small subunit ribosomal RNA", at positions 29 to 507 of the family's 1533-position model. The record is from RNAcentral.